AUGUUUGGGGACCAUGCGCUUGGAAGACUUUUUGGUUGGCAUAUCUGAUCAUAGGGAGCUAUUACAUAUAUGGAUGGAAAACUGCUUUCUUAGAUUUCCACUGCGUGAUGCUGGGUACAAAAACAGUGACACUUCAGCCUUUCUAAAAGGUGCCAUAUUGUACAAUGUAGCAUAAUAGGAAACUCAGCCAUGUACAUUGUAUGCUUCAUACUAGGCACUUUCCAAAUGCUGGUUCCUUCCUAUAUCUUCCCUUUCUAAAAUGUCUUUAAAAAUUAAAAGCUUUAAAAAUUGUAUUAGCAAGUCUGACUUUCCCAUUUUUUAACUAGCUGUACACGCAAUCCUGUGCAUUGUGAAUUACUUAUCUGUCCAUUGCAGAUGAAGAGACUGAAGCUAACGAAGUUAAAUAAUUUUUCCUAAGCCACAUAGGGAGUGACUAGUGAAGCUGGACUUUGCUUUUCCAUUACACAGGGGAGCCAGGAAAACUUCCUCAGGCUUUCCCAGACUUACAACCAUAGAGCCAAUGGAUUAGAAGGGACUUCAGAGAUUAACAUGUCUAACUGCUUCAUUUAAGAGGUAUACACAGUGAAGAACUUGAAUCUGGAACUGGAUUUACACACUAGAGGAGGGCUUUAUAGAUCCCUUUUGUUGGGCUUGGGGACAGCACCAUGUCUGCCUGAAAUGAAGCAAAGAAGGUCUGUGGCCAUGAAGACAAGGAGACAAUCCUUCUCUCUGAUCCUGAUUUAUGGGGAUUCCAGUACCAUACAUAGAGGCCUGGCAAAUAACAGGUACUGAAUAAUGACACCUUAUGUUUCCCCUGGAGUCUAAAUUGGUCAAAAGAAUAACAGAGAGAGAGAGAGAGAACUCAUGUUGAGUGUCUAUAAUGUGCAGGCAUUGUGCUUGGUUCGCUACAAACAAGAGUAAUAAUAAUAGCUAAUACUUUUUGAGGGCCUACUAUGUGU
Molecule: long non-coding RNA, 959 nt
Organism: Choloepus didactylus (southern two-toed sloth)
Lineage: Eukaryota; Metazoa; Chordata; Mammalia; Pilosa; Megalonychidae
Exons: 3
Source: RefSeq, a predicted model, not a curated record